RNAcentral lists this transfer-messenger RNA (345 nucleotides) under Sphingomonadaceae bacterium. It matches the Rfam family "Alphaproteobacteria transfer-messenger RNA". From Rfam's summary of the family: Bacterial tmRNA, also known as 10Sa RNA or SsrA, is named for its dual tRNA and mRNA-like properties. Lineage: Bacteria; Pseudomonadati; Pseudomonadota; Alphaproteobacteria; Sphingomonadales; Sphingomonadaceae. The record is from RNAcentral.
UCACUUCACAUUAACCGGACAAUUCCUAUAUAAGACCCUGCCGGCUUCGGCCGGCUAUGGCGAUAAACUGCGGCGUGCAAUAGGCGCAGCGGACCCGGGGGCAGUACCCGGCGGCUCCACCAGAAAGACCCUUCGAGGGUCGUCCUGAUGGGGCCGAACCAGGAUCGACGUGUGUUGAAAAGCGCUGUUUUUGCCCGGCCUGAAUGCGCCGUAAAACCGUUCAAAACCACAAGUGCCAACGACAACGAGGCGCUCGCGAUUGCCGCGUAACUCGGUCCUCACGGACUAGGUUACUAAGGACAAAAGCGCGGUUCGGGCCGCACCGGGCAACAGAAGCGGAUUCCA